Molecule: non-coding RNA, 1013 nt
Organism: Misgurnus anguillicaudatus (oriental weatherfish)
Lineage: Eukaryota; Metazoa; Chordata; Actinopteri; Cypriniformes; Cobitidae
Source: RefSeq, a predicted model, not a curated record
UAGAUCACCUGACAGAACAACACUUAUCAAUGUCACAGAUUUAACCUCAGUCUUAAACAUAAACCCAACCUAGAGAUGAUCUUUACCUUUAUUCCUGGGAAGGUGACAGCAGAAGAUGCGUACGAGCCAAUCAUGAGUGCGAUAAAAGUCGAACGAAGAUCACCAAACAUGUUGGGAAGCUAAGAAAGGGACAAUGAUGUCAAAAAAAUAUUGAUUAAUUAAAAAACUUCAAGAUUUUCAAUUCAGCAGUUCUUCAGGUGCAUCAUGAAAAUAAUAUGUAUUUAUUGGCCAACCUUGCCCCUUCACAUUUCAUGAGUACAAAAUGUAUCAAAAACAUAUGCCCUGUAACAGGACAAUCAGAUACAAAGAUCGGUAAACAUUACAUCAGGGUACCAUUGAUAUUCACUGGUAAGAGCAACACGUAGAGGGGCAUCAGUUGUAAAGGCGAAUGCAUGCCGUGAAUAUUUUUAGCAGUGAAAGUGUGGGGGACACUAGAUGAGUUUGCAUAAUGCUGUUCCCCUUUAGCUGGGCGGAGGAGCAGAGCACAAUCUGUUCUCAACUAUACUGUCAGAGUAAACAACACUACAGAGAAACUCAACAGACUCAAAAACCAAGAAGAAAAGGAAACAAGAACAAAAAACAGUAUUUUAGUGUUUUUAUAUGUAUUUCUGUAAUGUUUUAUUUUACUUUAAUUUUAUUAUUUAUACUUUUAUGUGUGUAUGUAGGUAUGAAAAGCAAGGAAACAAGAGACAGUAUUUUUAUUGUUUAAUAAUUUUGUUGGUUUUGUGCAAUAUUGUUCAGGUUCUUAUAUUUAGGUUCAGUUAUUUCACUUUAAUGGCAAUGAAAAGGUUAUUAGUCACACUGUAAAAAACAAUGUCAAAUUAACAUUUAUUUUAUGUUACUUUAACUAAACAAAUUAAGUUAAACAAUUUCAGAUUGUUUUUAUAAGUUAACUUAACUUUAAUUUUACCUUUCAUUGGUAUUUAAUAAAUUUGACUCUUUUCACUGCAAAA